Molecule: ribosomal RNA, 806 nt
Filed under: uncultured bacterium
Lineage: Bacteria
Description: bacterial SSU rRNA
Rfam family: Bacterial small subunit ribosomal RNA
Source: RNAcentral
AGUCGAACGAACACUUAAGAUUGAUUCUUCGGAUGAAGCCUUUUGUGACUGAGUGGCGGACGGGUGAGUAACGCGUGGGUAACCUGCCUCAUACAGGGGGAUAACAGUUAGAAAUGACUGCUAAUACCGCAUAAGCGCACAGGGUCGCAUGACCUAGUGUGAAAAACUCCGGUGGUAUGAGAUGGACCCGCGUCUGAUUAGCUAGUUGGCGAGGUAACGGCCCACCAAGGCGACGAUCAGUAGCCGACCUGAGAGGGUGAUCGGCCACAUUGGGACUGAGACACGGCCCAAACUCCUACGGGAGGCAGCAGUGGGGAAUAUUGCACAAUGGGGGAAACCCUGAUGCAGCGACGCCGCGUGAAGGAAGAAGUAUUUCGGUAUGUAAACUUCUAUCAGCAGGGAAGAAAAUGACGGUACCUGACUAAGAAGCCCCGGCUAACUACGUGCCAGCAGCCGCGGUAAUACGUAGGGGGCAAGCGUUAUCCGGAUUUACUGGGUGUAAAGGGAGCGUAGGCGGUCUGACAAGUCAGAAGUGAAAGCCCGGGGCUCAACUCCGGGACUGCUUUUGAAACUGCCGGACUAGAUUGCAGGAGAGGUAAGUGGAAUUCCUAGUGUAGCGGUGAAAUGCGUAGAUAUUAGGAGGAACACCAGUGGCGAAGGCGGCUUACUGGACUGUAAAUGACGCUGAGGCUCGAAAGCGUGGGGAGCAAACAGGAUUAGAUACCCUGGUAGUCCACGCCGUANACGAUGAAUANUAGGUGUUGGGGAGCACAGCUCUUCGGUGCCGCAGCAAACGCAAUAAGUAU